AUGCAACAUCUCUGGUUAUUCAAGAAACACAGAAGUCCGAAAGCAAAAUCAAUUAGUGCUGACAUGAAACAACACGCACGGAAGGGAAUCAGGGAGUCAAAAAACUUCCUAAGCAUCUGUACACAAAUAAUAACAGUGCAUCUCUGCCCUGAGUAGGAGCCCCUUGAAGUGGCUGCUUAUACUCGAAGGCUGUUUAAAAUGAUCAUUGUGUAAAACAUGGUAUUUGAUCCACCUUAAUGAAACUAUGCA
RNAcentral lists this long non-coding RNA (249 nucleotides) under Monodelphis domestica (gray short-tailed opossum). RNAcentral's name for it is "lncRNA (ENSMODG00000051182.1)". The record is from RNAcentral. Lineage: Eukaryota; Metazoa; Chordata; Mammalia; Didelphimorphia; Didelphidae.